UACGUAGGUGGCAAGCGUUGUCCGGAAUUAUUGGGCGUAAAGCGCGCGCAGGCGGUCCUUUAAGUCUGAUGUGAAAGCCCACGGCUCAACCGUGGAGGGUCAUUGGAAACUGGGGGACUUGAGUCCGGAAGGGGCGAGUGGAAUUCCUGGUGUAGCGGUGAAAUGCGCAGAUAUCAGGAAGAACACCCGUGGCGAAGGCGGCUCUCUGGGACGGUACUGACGCUGAGACGCGAAAGCGUGGGGAGCGAACAGG
This 253-nucleotide ribosomal RNA is filed under the name uncultured bacterium. Its description in RNAcentral is "partial 16S ribosomal RNA". It matches the Rfam family "Bacterial small subunit ribosomal RNA", at positions 524 to 776 of the family's 1533-position model. The record is from RNAcentral.